UACAGAGGUCUCAAGCGUUGUUCGGAUUCAUUGGGCGUAAAGGGUGCGUAGGUGGCGCCGUAAGUCAGGUGUGAAAUUUCGGAGCUUAACUCCGAAACUGCAUUUGAUACUGCGGUGCUUGAGGACUGGAGAGGAGACUGGAAUUCACGGUGUAGCAGUGAAAUGCGUAGAUAUCAGGAGGAACACCGGUGGCGAAGGCGGGUCUCUGGGCCGAUACUGACGCUGAGGAGCGAAAGCGUGGGGAGCAAACAGG
This 253-nucleotide ribosomal RNA is filed under the name uncultured bacterium. RNAcentral's name for it is "partial 16S ribosomal RNA". It matches the Rfam family "Bacterial small subunit ribosomal RNA", at positions 524 to 776 of the family's 1533-position model. The record is from RNAcentral.